This 368-nucleotide RNase P RNA is filed under the name Coriobacteriales bacterium. RNAcentral's name for it is "RNase P RNA component class A". It matches the Rfam family "Bacterial RNase P class A". From Rfam's summary of the family: Ribonuclease P (RNase P) is a ubiquitous endoribonuclease, found in archaea, bacteria and eukarya as well as chloroplasts and mitochondria. Its best characterised activity is the generation of mature 5'-ends of tRNAs by cleaving the 5'-leader elements of precursor-tRNAs. Lineage: Bacteria; Bacillati; Actinomycetota; Coriobacteriia; Coriobacteriales. The record is from RNAcentral.
GAGGUGGACCAGACGAUCGCGGGGCCUCAAGGCACACGCCUUAGGUCAUGAGGAAAGUCCGGGCUCCACAGGGCAGAAAGCAGGCUAACGGCCUGGCGGAGUAAUCCGACGGAAAGCGCCGCAGAAAAGAAGACUCCCGCUGCCUGCACCUGGUGCGGGUGAGAGAAAAGCUGAAACGGUGGUGUAAGAGACCACCAGCAUCCGGGCAACCGGGUGGCUUGGCAAGCCCCUUUUGGAGCAAACGCAAAUAGGAGCGCUAUGGUGUGGCCCGCACUGCGCUCGGGUUGCGCGCUUGAGGCCAGCGGCGACGUUGGUCCUAGAUAAAUGACCGUCCAUGACAGAACCCGGCUUAUCGGUCCACCUCGCCU